Molecule: long non-coding RNA, 214 nt
Filed under: Lathyrus oleraceus (garden pea)
Lineage: Eukaryota; Viridiplantae; Streptophyta; Magnoliopsida; Fabales; Fabaceae
Description: Pisum sativum (pea) long non-coding RNA (PSAT_LNC041632)
Source: RNAcentral
AAAAAAAAAAAAAAAAAAAAAAAAAAAAAAAAGGGGGUAAGUUGUAGGAACCUCUGAUUCCGAUACCUCAGCGAAAGAAAUAACUGUUAAUCCGGUACUUGAUAACCCUCGAGGGGUCUACGAGGUGCGCAUUGAGUCAGCAUGACUAGUCUUGUCGAAAAGAGUAUGCAAUUUACCUAAGCAAAAAGUUUAUCGACAGUGAAACAAUACACUC